Molecule: long non-coding RNA, 560 nt
Organism: Hyaena hyaena (striped hyena)
Lineage: Eukaryota; Metazoa; Chordata; Mammalia; Carnivora; Hyaenidae
Exons: 2
Source: RefSeq, a predicted model, not a curated record
UCCAGCCCAGACUACAAGACCCAAAAUGCCGCGCGCGUCCUACACCGCCCCGCGGAGUUUGCGCGGGGUUCGGGGAGUUUUUAGAUUUUAGCAACGAGCGCCCGAGCGACUCUAGUUGAGAACGUUGCAGCCUAGGGAAUUAGAGCGUGUGGUUUUACGAGCGAGCCCCAUGAUGCUUGGGUAACAGCAACUCGGUCAUAAUAAUCUUGCUCAAGACAACAUCUGAAGUCACAUUGCUCAUGCCCACAGGAAAUGUGUCUCUCACAUGAAGUUCCUAAAAUCUCAAGGAAUGUGGGGAAGAGAGGAAGUUUGAUGCUGCAAAAAAGAACAAGGACUUGGAAUCGGGCUGAACUGGACUUAAUUCUGUCUCUACUUUUUGCCUGCUGUGUAACUUUGAACAAGCUCAACUUCUCUGAGCCUCGGCCAACAGAAAACUCUGAAACAUGGCAACAUGACCUCAGACCUACCUUGCAGCAUUUCUGUGGGAGGGACCGUAAUGGAUAAAGGGGAUGCCAUACACUGGCACUAAUAAACAGUAGCUAUUUUAGGUACUGCAGAUA